UGCCAGCAGCCGCGGUAAUACGUAGGGGGCGAGCGUUGUUCGGAUUUACUGGGCGUAAAGAGAGCGUAGGCGGCUCGUCAAGUCCGGUGUGAAAGCCUCACCGCUUACCGGGAGGAGGUCACCGGAAACUGGCGGACUUGAGCAGGGUAGAGGUAAGCGGAAUUCCUGGUGUAGCGGUGGAAUGUGUAGAUAUCAGGAAGAACAUCUGUGGCGAAGGCGGCUUACUGGGCCCUUGCUGACGCUGAGGCUCGAGAGCGUGGGGAGCGAACGGGAUUAGAUA
RNAcentral lists this ribosomal RNA (280 nucleotides) under uncultured bacterium. RNAcentral describes it as "partial 16S ribosomal RNA". It matches the Rfam family "Bacterial small subunit ribosomal RNA", at positions 506 to 784 of the family's 1533-position model. The record is from RNAcentral.